GCGGCGCCCUCGCAGCUCCGGCCGAGGCCUGCGCUCGGUCCAAACAGCCGGCGGUAACGACCCGCGGCCGCACACGUGCUCAUCGCACUGCCCCGAGACCCCUCGGAACGCAGAAAACAAGCUCAUUUAAAAAGAAAGGAUGGUAAUAUUCUCAAGAGAACAUGGCUCUGCCAUUUUACACAGAUCAAGAACAUUCAAGCAAAUCCAGAGUCUACUCAACAGUUUUUAAUGACACUUUCUCCAGAAUCUCUUUGCCACUUCUGAAUUUACCCCGUUGCAGAAAUCAUUAAGAAAUGUGACAUCAAGAGGCCACUGGCCCCAACAUCUCUCAUUCAGCUGUGCAGAGCAAUAAUGAGAAAGGUAAUGACUUACUACUACAUAUAUAAAUAAAAGAGACCUCCAAAUCAGAGGCAAA
This is a long non-coding RNA of Haemorhous mexicanus (house finch), 415 nucleotides long. RefSeq lists it as uncharacterized. NCBI's taxonomy places the organism in Eukaryota, Metazoa, Chordata, Aves, Passeriformes, Fringillidae. The record is from RefSeq and is a predicted model, not a curated record. The transcript has 2 exons.